This 125-nucleotide small nuclear RNA is filed under the name Neogale vison (American mink). Its description in RNAcentral is "Neovison vison (American mink) U4 spliceosomal RNA (ENSNVIG00000006298.1)". It matches the Rfam family "U4 spliceosomal RNA". Rfam says of the family: U4 small nuclear RNA (U4 snRNA) is a component of the major U2-dependent spliceosome. The structure of U4 snRNA from yeast and human has been reported. The record is from Rfam by way of RNAcentral. Lineage: Eukaryota; Metazoa; Chordata; Mammalia; Carnivora; Mustelidae.
AGCUUUGCGCAGUGGCAGUAUCAUAGCCAAUGAGGUUUAUCCAAGGUGCAAUUAUUGCUAAUUGAAAACCUAAAAGUAAUGUCUCAAUAAUAUAUCUCUAUUUCAUUUUUUUCACCUAUUUGGUG